AUUGAACGCUGGCGGCAGGCCUAACACAUGCAAGUCGAGCGGAUGAAGGGAGCUUGCUCCUGGAUUCAGCGGCGGACGGGUGAGUAAUGCCUAGGAAUCUGCCUGGUAGUGGGGGAUAACGUCCGGAAACGGGCGCUAAUACCGCAUACGUCCUGAGGGAGAAAGUGGGGGAUCUUCGGACCUCACGCUAUCAGAUGAGCCUAGGUCGGAUUAGCUAGUUGGUGGGGUAAAGGCCUACCAAGGCGACGAUCCGUAACUGGUCUGAGAGGAUGAUCAGUCACACUGGAACUGAGACACGGUCCAGACUCCUACGGGAGGCAGCAGUGGGGAAUCUUGGACAAUGGGCGAAAGCCUGAUCCAGCCAUGCCGCGUGUGUGAAGAAGGUCUUCGGAUUGUAAAGCACUUUAAGUUGGGAGGAAGGGCAGUAAGUUAAUCCCUUGCUGUUUUGACGUUACCAACAGAAUAAGCACCGGCUAACUUCGUG
RNAcentral lists this ribosomal RNA (484 nucleotides) under uncultured bacterium. RNAcentral's name for it is "partial 16S ribosomal RNA". It matches the Rfam family "Bacterial small subunit ribosomal RNA", at positions 30 to 507 of the family's 1533-position model. The record is from RNAcentral.